UACGUAGGUCCCGAGCGUUGUCCGGAUUUAUUGGGCGUAAAGCGAGCGCAGGUGGUUUAUUAAGUCUGGUGUAAAAGGCAGUGGCUCAACCAUUGUAUGCAUUGGAAACUGGUAGACUUGAGUGCAGGAGAGGAGAGUGGAAUUCCAUGUGUAGCGGUGAAAUGCGUAGAUAUAUGGAGGAGCACCGGUGGCAAAAGCGGCUCUCUGGCCUGUAACUGACACUGAGGCUCGAAAGCGUGGAGAGCAAACAGG
Molecule: ribosomal RNA, 252 nt
Filed under: uncultured bacterium
Lineage: Bacteria
Description: partial 16S ribosomal RNA
Rfam family: Bacterial small subunit ribosomal RNA
Source: RNAcentral